Molecule: transfer RNA, 73 nt
Filed under: Bacteroidetes bacterium QS_3_64_15
Lineage: Bacteria; Pseudomonadati; Bacteroidota
Description: tRNA-Arg
Rfam family: tRNA
About the family: Transfer RNA (tRNA) molecules are approximately 80 nucleotides in length.
Source: RNAcentral
GCCCCCGUAGCUCAACUGGAUAGAGCGGUGGCCUCCUAAGCCGCAGAUCGUGGUUCGAGUCCACGCGGGGGUA